UCCGCAGGCUGUUCUAUCGCUGCCCUUCUACUAAUGAAGGGGAGAGGAAAGUCCGGGCAACACAGAGCAUCCCACUUCCUAACUGGAAGGUCCCAUAGUGAUAUGGGAACAGCAAGUGCCACAGAAAAAUACAGCCUCGCAGCAAUGCGGGGUGAUGGUGAAAAUGUGAGGUAAGAGCUCACGGGAAUAGCUGGCGACAGUUAUUUCGGGUAAACCUUGGGAGUUGAAAGACCAAAUAAACCGAAGUUUUAGAGCUGCUCGCUCAAUUCGGAGGGUAGGUUGCUUGAUCCUUUCGGUGACGAAAGGGCUAGAUAAAUGAUAGAACUCGACAGAACCCGGCUUACAGGCCUGCUUUUUUA
This 359-nucleotide RNase P RNA is filed under the name Bacteroidota bacterium. RNAcentral describes it as "RNase P RNA component class A". It matches the Rfam family "Bacterial RNase P class A". From Rfam's summary of the family: Ribonuclease P (RNase P) is a ubiquitous endoribonuclease, found in archaea, bacteria and eukarya as well as chloroplasts and mitochondria. Its best characterised activity is the generation of mature 5'-ends of tRNAs by cleaving the 5'-leader elements of precursor-tRNAs. Lineage: Bacteria; Pseudomonadati; Bacteroidota. The record is from RNAcentral.